AAUAGGUAGAUAUAUAGUAUUAGCGUGUUUACGUGAUGAAAACGUGGAAAAUCAACGAAUAUUUCAUGAAUACUUCACAUAACCUCAAAAAACUUACUACGCUCAACAAAUAUAGCAGAAAAACAAAGAAAAAGGUAAAAUUCUGAGUCAUGAUACAAAACAUCUCAACAAGUUUCGAGCCAAUUGAAGGAAACCUGUGUUUAAAUUUAAAUCCAACAGAAAUUUAAUCCAAUCAUAGGUAAAUUUCAUCAUGGUAACAAGUAUUUGACUAGGACAAGUCCAAAUUUUCUAUCAGCUCGUUAGACCCUCGGUGCGCGUGGCUGGAAAUCAAUUAUCGACGAUGAAUUUAAUGAAAUUUCCGAAUUGGGUCGACACUUUCCACUUUCACGUUCACGCUUCGCGUUUUGCUCCUCAGCACUCGUCGCGAAUCUUUCGCUGCGUGACUACCGCAAAACAAACAAAAGGCAGACGCGCACGAAACUUCGUUAGCAGCAGGUGCCAUUAGUAGUGACAGUGGUAGUUAGUUAAUAAGAAAUAGAUUAAGCUCGGACGGUGCGCCGGAACGCGGCCGACGACUGCGAACGCGACGACAAAGACAACGCUUGAAAUAAUGGCGGCGAGGAAAAGUUCCCUUUUCGGCAUAACAAAGGCUUUUGUUCUCAGAAUAGCAACGAGUACCGGAAAGCGGAAAAGUAGUUGUUAAUCUACGACAGAUUUCACUUUCGCGUUUUUUAAAUGUUUGCUGAUUUUAAUUUGAAUUUUUGGUAUGCUAAUAAACACUUCAAAGUCUAAUGAAGUGUCGCGCACGUAUUGUGUUGCAGUAUUGCUGUGAUUUUGUGAUGCUUAUCACUUUCACAGCUCAUAAUUUCGUCAUCGUUGAUGCUGUAAUAAUUAGCACGUUUUGCUAGCGGUACGCAUUGAACGUAAGAGCGCGUCAUGAAUAUUUAUUAAGUGUUUUCUGAUGUCGCACCAACCGGAGCGAAAUUGGAAUUGAAACGUCAACGAAAACGAUGGAAGCAAAACGCGCGACAACGCCGCUUGCGAUAAUUUCAUUCCGGGUGUGCGUCUUAAAUUAAUUUUCGCAUCUUUUGCGCCCAAUUUAGAACGCGACGCCUAUUUUAAGAAAAAAUUUUGGAAAUAUUACAUUUUAGACGUGCGCAUGUUGUAAAACAUCGCCUAAUCAAAUAAAUCGAGAUUUGGGGGAGAAAAUCAAGUCGUAAUAUUGAUGUAAACUCAAGCAGGUGA
Dalotia coriaria is the source of this 1245-nucleotide long non-coding RNA. RefSeq lists it as uncharacterized. The transcript has 2 exons. NCBI's taxonomy places the organism in Eukaryota, Metazoa, Arthropoda, Insecta, Coleoptera, Staphylinidae. The record is from RefSeq and is a predicted model, not a curated record.